CGCACAUUGCGCCCUCUGGUAUUCCGGAGGGCAUGCCUGUUUGAGCGUCAUUUCUCUCUCAAGCUCCCCCGCUGGUGUCUCUGGCUCUAGCGGGAGGGGGCUUGGUAUUGAGUGGUACUCGGGCUUCUGGGUUAACUUGAAAUACAAGGCAAGAGUGGUGCUGACUGGCGGCCUCUGGCUCGAGAUAAUGUAUUAGGUUCUACCAACUCGUUAUAUCAGCCGGGGUAUCAGCGUCGGCGCACGCAGCUCGGCCUAACAACAACCUUUCACAAAGUUUGACCUAAAAUCGGGUAGGACUCCCCGCUGAACUUAA
This 313-nucleotide unclassified non-coding RNA is filed under the name Spathaspora brasiliensis. Its description in RNAcentral is "partial contains 5.8S ribosomal RNA, internal transcribed spacer 2, and large subunit ribosomal RNA". Lineage: Eukaryota; Fungi; Ascomycota; Pichiomycetes; Serinales; Debaryomycetaceae. The record is from RNAcentral.